RNAcentral lists this ribosomal RNA (431 nucleotides) under uncultured bacterium. Its description in RNAcentral is "partial 16S ribosomal RNA". It matches the Rfam family "Bacterial small subunit ribosomal RNA", at positions 29 to 507 of the family's 1533-position model. The record is from RNAcentral.
AACGAACGCUGGCGGCAGGCUUAACACAUGCAAGUCGAACGCCCCGCAAGGGGAGUGGCAGACGGGUGAGUAACGCGUGGGAACAUACCCUUUUCUACGGAAUAGCUCUGGGAAACUGGAAUUAAUACCGUAUACGCCCUACAGGGGAAAGAUUUAUCGGGGAAGGAUUGGCCCGCGUUGGAUUAGCUAGUUGGUGGGGUAAAGGCCUACCAAGGCGACGAUCCAUAGCUGGUCUGAGAGGAUGAUCAGCCACAUUGGGACUGAGACACGGCCCAAACUCCUACGGGAGGCAGCAGUGGGGAAUAUUGGACAAUGGGCGCAAGCCUGAUCCAGCCAUGCCGCGUGAGUGAUGAAGGCCUUAGGGUUGUAAAGCUCUUUCACCGAUGAAGAUAAUGACGGUAGUCGGAGAAGAAGCCCCGGCUAACUUCGUG